CCUACGGGAGGCAGCAGUGAGGAAUCUUGGUCACUGGACGAGAGCCUGAACCAGCCAAGUAGCGUGAAGGAUGACUGCCCUAUGGGUUGUAAACUUCUUUUAUAAAGGAAUAAAACGAGGCACGUGUGCCUUUUUGCAUGUACUUUAUGAAAACGGAUCGGCUAACUCCGUGCCAGCAGCCGCGGUACUACGGAGGAUACGAGCGUUAUCCGGAUUUCUUGGGUUUAAAGGGAGCGUAGAUGGGUUGUUAAGUCAGUUGUGAAAGUUUGAGGCUCAACCGUAAAAUUGCAAUUGAUACUGGCAGUCUUGAGGACAGUUGAGGUAGGCGGAAUUCGUGGUGUAGCGGUGAAAUGCUUAGAUAUCACGAAGAACCCCGAUUGCGAAGGCAGCUUACUAGACUGUGACUGACAUUGAGGCUCGAAAGUGUGGGUAUCAAACAGGAUUAGAUACCCCAGUAGUC
This 460-nucleotide ribosomal RNA is filed under the name uncultured bacterium. RNAcentral's name for it is "partial 16S ribosomal RNA". It matches the Rfam family "Bacterial small subunit ribosomal RNA", at positions 338 to 795 of the family's 1533-position model. The record is from RNAcentral.